UACGUAGGAGGCGAGCGUUGUCCGGAAUCACUGGGUGUAAAGCGCGUGUAGGCGGCCUGCCAAGUCUGCUGUGAAAGCGCCGGGCUUAACCGGGCGAGGUCGGUGGAAACUGGCGGGCUGGAGGUCGGUAGAGGGGGGUGGAAUUCCCGGUGUAGUGGUGAAAUGCGUAGAGAUCGGGAGGAACACCAGUGGCGAAGGCGGCCCCCUGGGCCGGGCCUGACGCUGAGACGCGAAAGCGCGGGGAGCGAACGGG
This 253-nucleotide ribosomal RNA is filed under the name uncultured bacterium. Its description in RNAcentral is "partial 16S ribosomal RNA". It matches the Rfam family "Bacterial small subunit ribosomal RNA", at positions 524 to 776 of the family's 1533-position model. The record is from RNAcentral.